Molecule: long non-coding RNA, 527 nt
Filed under: Prunus persica (peach)
Lineage: Eukaryota; Viridiplantae; Streptophyta; Magnoliopsida; Rosales; Rosaceae
Description: long non-coding RNA (PPER_LNC007085)
Source: RNAcentral
AUGAUUAUCAUAAAGUCCCAUAUUGGAAAAACACUCAAUAAUACAAAUGCUUAUAAGGGGUUACAUAACACUUUGAUAUUGCCGAGCCUAGUAGUAUGAGCUUGUAACUAAGCAGAGCAUUAAAGUGAUUAGUUGUUUGAACUAAACCUUGUUAUGUGAGGUAUGAUGGUCUUAAGCUGUUCACCUUGUGUGAAAUCGCAUUAAGCACACCCCUACCCUCGGGUUAGUAGGGCCCCCCAACCUCAAUAGUUGGGUUGCAAACCAAAAAUAUGGAUAUGAUUGGGGUGUUGGGUUCCAUUCCUAGACCCCACAGAUCAAGAGCCACUAUACCUUGGUGUGCUGCCUGGCUUGCACUCUCAUCACACAAUCACUUUUUGUCUCUUCCUUUCACAUCGAAAAACCAAAUUUCAUAAUUUAGUUUCAUCCUAUUUGAGUUUUUGUUUAAUUAUUAUCAUUGAAAACUAAAUUAUUUUAAAAAAAAUUAAAAAAAAAAGGUUUGGGUCAUUUCCUCCUUGUGUUUGUAUACG